UGGGGAAUAUUGCACAAUGGGCGCAAGCCUGAUGCAGCCAUGCCGCGUGUAUGAAGAAGGCCUUCGGGUUGUAAAGUACUUUCAGCGAGGAGGAAGGCGUUGUGGUUAAUAACCGCAGCGAUUGACGUUACUCGCAUAAGAAGCACCGGCUAACUCCGUGCCAGCAGCCGCGGUAAUACGGAGGGUGCAAGCGUUAAUCGGAAUUACUGGGCGUAAAGCGCACGCAGGCGGUCUGUCAAGUCGGAUGUGAAAUCCCCGGGCUCAACCUGGGAACUGCAUCCGAAACUGGCAGGCUAGAGUCUUGUAGAGGGGGGUAGAAUUCCAGGUGUAGCGGUGAAAUGCGUAGAGAUCUGGAGGAAUACCGGUGGCGAAGGCGGCCCCCUGGACAAAGACUGACGCUCAGGUGCGAAAGCGUGGGGAGCAAACA
RNAcentral lists this ribosomal RNA (427 nucleotides) under uncultured bacterium. RNAcentral's name for it is "partial 16S ribosomal RNA". It matches the Rfam family "Bacterial small subunit ribosomal RNA", at positions 355 to 774 of the family's 1533-position model. The record is from RNAcentral.